The sequence is a ribosomal RNA, 435 nucleotides long. It matches the Rfam family "Bacterial small subunit ribosomal RNA", at positions 341 to 792 of the family's 1533-position model.
ACGGGAGGCAGCAGUCGGGAAUAUUGCGCAAUGGAGGAAACUCUGACGCAGUGACGCCGCGUAUAGGAAGAAGGUUUUCGGAUUGUAAACUAUUGUCGUUAGGGAAGAUAAAAGACAGUACCUAAGGAGGAAGCCCCGGCUAACUAUGUGCCAGCAGCCGCGGUAAUACAUAGGGGGCAAGCGUUAUCCGGAAUUAUUGGGUGUAAAGGGUGCGUAGACGGGAAAGCAAGUUAGUUGUGAAAUCCCUCGGCUUAACUGAGGAACUGCAACUAAAACUACUAUUCUUGAGUGUCGGAGGGGAAAGUGGAAUUCCUAGUGUAGCGGUGAAAUGCGUAGAUAUUAGGAGGAACACCAGUGGCGAAGGCGGCUUACUGGACUGUAACUGACGUUGAGGCUCGAAAGCGUGGGGAGCAAACAGGAUUAGAUACCCUGGUA